UACACCAGAUCCAAUCUCAAGACCGCAGCUGCCGCCCCCAAGCACCUCACCCCCGGCCCCCGCCGCCGCCCACAACUACCCAUCGCCACCUAUCGCCCUCCACGUUGACCACUGCCACCGACUACCCUCCUCCCCAACCACUGCUGCCAUCGCCCCCACCCACCGCACCCCGCCCAACCACCUCACAGCAGCACCGCCGAGCACCCAACUGACACGGACAACCACCGGCGCCGACCGGCCCGUCAUCGAGCAACUCCACCACCGACCAGCCUCCUCUGUCGGGCGCCUUCCAUUGCUACAUCGCGAGCUUCCUCCCCCGAGCAGGCCUCUCCCCGUACCUCGUAGUGGUGAGUUACAAGAUGGGAGAGGAUGCGGCAUAAGGAAGCCCUUGGUAUGUUCAGAUGAGCAAGGAUGGCUCCCCUUACCUUAGGAAAGUGGACCUCAAGAUGUAUUCUAGCCACGGCAGCCUCCAAUGGGGAUGAUACACCUUCAAGUUGAUGUAAGCACAAAAUCACGUUGGGAUGGCAACCUCCAUUAAUUUAUAUCAGCAUGAAUUAGAUAUCACCAAUGGAACCUUGCCUGCAGUUUCACAUUCUGAUUAAUUAUAAUUUAGUUGGAUACUAAUGCCACGUGAUCUUGUAGUUUAACUCUCUGUGUAUCUAUAAUUUAUAUCUUAUCAUUUUUCUGGAAUGAUUC
This is a long non-coding RNA of Triticum dicoccoides, 696 nucleotides long. RefSeq lists it as uncharacterized. The record is from RefSeq and is a predicted model, not a curated record. Lineage: Eukaryota; Viridiplantae; Streptophyta; Magnoliopsida; Poales; Poaceae. The transcript is spliced from 3 exons.